This 27-nucleotide non-coding RNA is filed under the name Cricetulus griseus (Chinese hamster). The record is from RNAcentral. Lineage: Eukaryota; Metazoa; Chordata; Mammalia; Rodentia; Cricetidae.
GAAUUAGUGUUGGACAAAGAUGGGAGA